RNAcentral lists this ribosomal RNA (683 nucleotides) under uncultured Bacilli bacterium. RNAcentral's name for it is "bacterial SSU rRNA". It matches the Rfam family "Bacterial small subunit ribosomal RNA", at positions 61 to 725 of the family's 1533-position model. The record is from RNAcentral. Lineage: Bacteria; Bacillati; Bacillota; Bacilli.
GUCGAGCGGACCGACGGGAGCUUGCUCCCUUAGGUCAGCGGCGGACGGGUGAGUAACACGUGGGUAACCUGCCUGUAAGACUGGGAUAACUCCGGGAAACCGGGGCUAAUACCGGAUGCUUGAUUGAACCGCAUGGUUCAAUCAUAAAAGGUGGCUUUUAGCUACCACUUACAGAUGGACCCGCGGCGCAUUAGCUAGUUGGUGAGGUAACGGCUCACCAAGGCGACGAUGCGUAGCCGACCUGAGAGGGUGAUCGGCCACACUGGGACUGAGACACGGCCCAGACUCCUACGGGAGGCAGCAGUAGGGAAUCUUCCGCAAUGGACGAAAGUCUGACGGAGCAACGCCGCGUGAGUGAUGAAGGUUUUCGGAUCGUAAAACUCUGUUGUUAGGGAAGAACAAGUACCGUUCGAAUAGGGCGGCACCUUGACGGUACCUAACCAGAAAGCCACGGCUAACUACGUGCCAGCAGCCGCGGUAAUACGUAGGUGGCAAGCGUUGUCCGGAAUUAUUGGGCGUAAAGCGCGCGCAGGCGGUUUCUUAAGUCUGAUGUGAAAGCCCCCGGCUCAACCGGGGAGGGUCAUUGGAAACUGGGGAACUUGAGUGCAGAGGAGGAGAGUGGAAUUCCACGUGUAGCGGUGAAAUGCGUAGAGAUGUGGAGGAACACCAGUGGCGAAGGCGAC